GAUUGUUAAGAUCACGGUUUUAACAACAUGGUUUGAACAAAGUUCAAGAGAGUUUAAUUCUUUCAGCAGCAAUGAAUUGCAAACUGUAAACACAUAAACAAUG
Molecule: non-coding RNA, 103 nt
Submitted as: unclassified sequences
Source: Rfam